CAUUCAAAUUUCUUUAUUAAUUUUUAAUAAAUAAUUUAUAUUAAAUAUAAAAAUAUAUUUAUGAAAAAAAAAGACGACAAGACCCUAUUAAAUUUUACUUAUAGUUUAGCUGGGGAAGCUUUUCAAUUAAAAUUUUUUAAAAUCUUAAAAUAAAUAUCUAAUUUAAAUUAAAAUUUAAAUAAAUUACUAUAGGGAUAACAGCAUUAUAUUUUUUAAAAGUUCAUAUUAAAAAAAAUGAUUGUGACCUCGAUGUUGAAUUAUAUUUUCUAUAUUUAAUGCAAUAAUUAUAAAAGUAGAUCUGUUCGAUCUUUAAAAUAUUACAUGAUUUGAGUUCAAACCGGUGUAAACCAGGUUGGUUUCUAUCUUUUUAUAUAUUUUUCCAGUACGAAAGGACAAAAAAAUUUUUAUUUUAAUAAAUUAGCAAAUAUAAUGCAUUAGAUUUAGAAUCUAAAUAUAUUUAAAUU
Molecule: unclassified non-coding RNA, 464 nt
Filed under: Anelosimus studiosus
Lineage: Eukaryota; Metazoa; Arthropoda; Arachnida; Araneae; Theridiidae
Description: partial contains 16S ribosomal RNA and tRNA-Leu (trnL)
Rfam family: Bacterial large subunit ribosomal RNA (bases 68-368)
Source: RNAcentral